CCGGAGAAUGUUAUCACGGGAGACACACGGCGGGUGCUAACGUCCGUCGUGAAGAGGGAAACAACCCAGACCGCCAGCUAAGGUCCCAAAGUCAUGGUUAAGUGGGAAACGAUGUGGGAAGGCCCAGACAGCCAGGAUGUUGGCUUAGAAGCAGCCAUCAUUUAAAGAAAGCGUAAUAGCUCACUGGUCGAGUCGGCCUGCGCGGAAGAUGUAACGGGGCUAAACCAUGCACCGAAGCUGCGGCAGCGAACGUAUCACUUAAAGCGAUUCAGCGGGUUACGAUUGACGGAGCGAAGCGACGUCAAAGCGUAUACAAAGUCGAGUCGGUUUAAGGAUACGUUCGUUGGGUAGGGGAGCGUUCUGUAAGCCUGYGAAGGUGKSYYGUGAGGSWUGCUGGAGGUAUCAGAAGUGCGAAUGCUGACAUAAGUAACGAUAAAGCGGGUGAAAAGCCCGCUCGCCGGAAGACCAAGGGUUCCUGUCCAACGUUAAUCGGGGCAGGGUGAGUCGACCCCUAAGGCGAGGCCGAAAGGCGUAGUCGAUGGGAAACGGGUUAAUAUUCCCGUACUUGGUGUUACUGCGAAGGGGGGACGGAGAAGGCUAUGUUGGCCGGGCGACGGUUGUCCCGGUUUAAGCGUGUAGG
This 640-nucleotide ribosomal RNA is filed under the name Salmonella enterica subsp. enterica serovar Infantis. RNAcentral's name for it is "partial 23S ribosomal RNA". The record is from RNAcentral. Lineage: Bacteria; Pseudomonadati; Pseudomonadota; Gammaproteobacteria; Enterobacterales; Enterobacteriaceae.